UUUUAUGCUCAAUACAGAUGGUGCGUGUGAUGGGACUUUAAGGAAAGCGGGACUAGGCAGAGUUAUUCGCGACCAUGAUGGGAAUUGGGUGAUGGGCUUCUACGAAACGUGCCCCUGCACUUCCCCUUUGCAAGCUGAACUGCUCUCCCUCAAAAGAGGCCUUGAGCUGUGAUACGAGCACGAUCAUAAAGAUGGACAUUUUUUAGGGUGUUGAAUGCAACCUACGGAGUGUACGAGUUGAAGUGUGAAAAGGGCUCCAAAGCCGCCCUUAUAUUGCGCUCCAUGGGCACCAUUUUGUCCAUUUAACACUAAGGGGCACUUUUGUCAUUUUAUCUAUUAUUUGUAUUAGCCUAUAUAAAGAACAUGUUGGGGUUUUAGCUCAUUAGUUGUUGAAUAUUGAUGAAAGAAUACUUUUCUUGAGAGAGAGGGCCUCCCUAGGCCGAAACUACGACAUGAGCAAGUGUGGACUCACUUGAGCAAGUGUGGACUCACUUGUGAAUGUGUAUUACUUGGAAAGUUGGUGCUUGAGCGGUGAAAUUCCUAUCGUGUCUUCGUAAGGGUGUGGUGUUGCUAUUGUAAGUCCUAGGGGUCCUUAGAUUUAAUAUAUCUUUGGGUUCCUGGGUUCCUAAUCUUGUAAUAGUGUAUGUCUCACUUUCUAUCUCUACAUUUCAUGUCUUAGUUUGUGUUGUCUAGUGA
This 696-nucleotide long non-coding RNA is filed under the name Capsicum annuum. RNAcentral's name for it is "long non-coding RNA (CANN_LNC000107)". Lineage: Eukaryota; Viridiplantae; Streptophyta; Magnoliopsida; Solanales; Solanaceae. The record is from RNAcentral.